Molecule: signal recognition particle RNA, 296 nt
Filed under: Brassica oleracea var. oleracea
Lineage: Eukaryota; Viridiplantae; Streptophyta; Magnoliopsida; Brassicales; Brassicaceae
Description: SRP RNA Plant_SRP
Rfam family: Plant signal recognition particle RNA
Source: Rfam by way of RNAcentral
GUCUGAGCUCAGUAACAAGGGCUUUUGACCUAUGUGGGGACAUUGAGAUGGUGGAACACUGGCCCGUCCCACUGGUCGGAUCUGUUGCAGCAAGUUCUGGGAUGCCCAGUCCAAGCCGAAAGUGAAUCUUGUUUGUUGUGCGAAGGCUUGAAUCAGGCGGUUCCUAUAAAGAGGUGUGAGGCUGGUUUCACAGAGCAGCGUUCACCUUCCUCUCUCGGUAAUGGAGGGAUCACAGCUCAAAGCCACUCAGAUCUAGCAUGGUUUGGUGGCUCGUACCCAGCUUAACCACCAUCUUU